RNAcentral lists this ribosomal RNA (395 nucleotides) under uncultured bacterium. RNAcentral describes it as "bacterial SSU rRNA". It matches the Rfam family "Bacterial small subunit ribosomal RNA", at positions 958 to 1352 of the family's 1533-position model. The record is from RNAcentral.
AACGCGAAGAACCUUACCACCCCUUGACAUCCUCGGAACUGCCUGGAGACAGGCAGGUGCCUUCGGGAACCGAGUGACAGGUGCUGCAUGGCUGUCGUCAGCUCGUGUCGUGAGAUGUUGGGUUAAGUCCCGUAACGAGCGCAACCCUUGUCCUUAUUUGCCAGCGGGUCAGGCCGGGAACUCUAGGGAGACUGCCGGUGACAAACCGGAGGAAGGUGGGGAUGACGUCAAGUCAUCAUGGCCCUCACGGGGUGGGCUACAAACGUGCUACAAUGGGCGGCACAGAGGGCUGCGAACCAGCAAUGGCAAGCGAAUCCCAAAAAACCGCUCGUGGUCCGGAUAGGAGUCUGCAACUCGACUCCUUGAAGUCGGAAUCGCUAGUAAUCGCGAAUCAG